AACAUCGCGCACCUGCGGGAACCUGCGGAAGGAUCGUUAAUGAUUGGUGGCUGUUGCUGACUAGUGUUUCUAGUAUGUGCACGCCACACCUUCAAUCCCACUUACACCUGUGCACCUUCUGUAAUAGAUCUAUGUGGAUACGGAGAUAUGAAAGUUUGCGCUCUCGUACUCUGUUGAAGCAGUCUACUACGUUUUUUUACACACACACAAUAGUCAUUGAAUGUAUUUUUUAUUCUUAUG
This 240-nucleotide unclassified non-coding RNA is filed under the name soil metagenome. RNAcentral's name for it is "partial contains 5.8S ribosomal RNA, internal transcribed spacer 2, and large subunit ribosomal RNA". The record is from RNAcentral.